GACGAACGCUGGCGGCGUGCCUAAUACAUGCAAGUCGAACGCUUCUUUCCUCCCGAGUGCUUGCACUCAAUUGGAAAGAGGAGUGGCGGACGGGUGAGUAACACGUGGGUAACCUACCCAUCAGAGGGGGAUAACACUUGGAAACAGGUGCUAAUACCGCAUAACAGUUUAUGCCGCAUGGCAUAAGAGUGAAAGGCGCUUUCGGGUGUCGCUGAUGGAUGGACCCGCGGUGCAUUAGCUAGUUGGUGAGGUAACGGCUCACCAAGGCCACGAUGCAUAGCCGACAUGAGAGGGUGAUCGACCACACUGGGACUGAGACACGGCCCAGACUCCUACGGGAGGCAGCAGUAGGGAAUCUUCGGCAAUGGACGAAAGUCUGACCGAGCAACGCCGCGUGAGUGAAGAAGGUGUUCGGAUCGUAAAACUCUGUUGUUAGAGAAGAACAAGGACGUUAGUAACUGAACGUCCCCUGACGGUAUCUAACCAGAAAGCCACGGCUAACUACGUG
This 508-nucleotide ribosomal RNA is filed under the name uncultured bacterium. RNAcentral describes it as "partial 16S ribosomal RNA". It matches the Rfam family "Bacterial small subunit ribosomal RNA", at positions 28 to 507 of the family's 1533-position model. The record is from RNAcentral.